GGGCAACCCUGAUCCAGCAAUGCCGCGUGAGUGAAGAAGGCCUUCGGGUUGUAAAGCUCUUUUGUCAGGGAAGAAACAGCAGCUCUAACACAGAACUGCGAAUGACGGUACC
Molecule: ribosomal RNA, 112 nt
Filed under: bacterium Fw70-55
Lineage: Bacteria
Description: partial 16S rRNA
Rfam family: Bacterial small subunit ribosomal RNA
Source: RNAcentral